This 616-nucleotide long non-coding RNA is filed under the name Ananas comosus (pineapple). RNAcentral describes it as "long non-coding RNA (ACOM_LNC015829)". Lineage: Eukaryota; Viridiplantae; Streptophyta; Magnoliopsida; Poales; Bromeliaceae. The record is from RNAcentral.
AAACAGAUUUAAACUCCAACUUCAAAAUCAUGUUUUGCGAGUUUUUUCCGAUCAUAGAUGUUCUGGUAUAAACCUCCGAAAUAGAAUCUUCUGGUGCACCAAAUUUUGAUGACAUGCAUUUAUAUCUGCAAUGCAUAUUGCCUUCUCCCUCAGUUGCAUUUUGCAUUUUGAGUCAAAAAAGCUGGAACAUGAAGACAUGAAAAUUAUACUGCUUAUUGUCAUAUCUUAAUACCUAGAAUCUUAUGCGGACAAGAGUUUAAUUCUGAUACAUAUACUGCACAUGCAUGACUACCAUUGGUAUGUUACAUCUUGGCUACAGAACUUGAUACGUUUAUGAUGUGUUUGGGAUAAUAUGCAAGCUAACUUUUACUGCUGGAUAAUGGACUUGAGUUGCAUUUACCACUCAGAGCUUCUUCAGCAUUUUGUAGUUUUUGUGAGCUUUAUAAGUUUACUAGUUAGCAGGCAAACGAGACAUAAGUCGCUGUGUAGUUUUGUUAUUCUAAUCAGUCUUGUUGCUUUCAUGCUACACCAAUUAUUCCUAUCCAUGCUUAACAGGCCUUUAUCCCUUUCUCUAGUUUAAUUUUUUUUAAAAAGCAACUAUUCACUUGUCUUGCAG